RNAcentral lists this long non-coding RNA (677 nucleotides) under Ananas comosus (pineapple). Its description in RNAcentral is "long non-coding RNA (ACOM_LNC013615)". Lineage: Eukaryota; Viridiplantae; Streptophyta; Magnoliopsida; Poales; Bromeliaceae. The record is from RNAcentral.
GAAUCAAAUUAGGAUUUGAUCGAUCUAACCAAUUAAGGAAAAGAUAAAUUUAAAUCUAGAUUUAUACUUAUCCUUAAUUGUCAUUAUAUUAUUAGGAAUAGGAUUAUAUUCCAAUAAUAUAAUAUACGGGAGUUUUUAGAAAACCCUAGUGGUCAUCUAUCCUCUCUUCUCUCUUCCAUCUUCUAGCAACAAAGACGUCCUUUUGCAAGGGAGCUAGCACCCCGGUGAGGACAUCGAUCAAAUCAAGAACCUCGUGUGGAUACCUAUAGAGGCCGGACGCGUGUGCGGCUUCAAGAGAACCGAAUUCCACGAUCAUCAAAUUGAGGGGAAGAUCUAUCCGCGAAAAAGGUAAAGAUUCGAUCUUGUUUUUCUUCAUUAAUCUUAAAACAUGAGGGAUCCUAAUUGCGUGGUUUUUUAGAUUGGAUCUCGAGAGUUUUCAAAAAUCAAAUUUGUUCGAUUUCUUUUUCCGCUGCGUUUUUACCGUACGCAAUUUUCUAACAGUGGUAUCAGAGUCAUCCUCAUGUUUUUAAGAUUAAAAUUAUGAAUUUAGGUAUUCUAAACCGUUUUUCGCCGGUAGAACGAUUUAUAGAUCGUUUUUGGCUAAUUCGAAAAGUCCGAAUUGAUCAAACAAUUUAAUCAAUGGUUUCUUGUUUGCUAUCAAAAAAAAAAAAAACAAA